GAUGAACGCUGGCGGCGUGCUUAACACAUGCAAGUCGAACGGAAAGGCUCCUGCUUGCAGGGGUACUCGAGUGGCGAACGGGUGAGUAACACGUGGGUGAUCUGCCCUGCACUUCGGGAUAAGCCUGGGAAACUGGGUCUAAUACCGGAUAGGACGAUGGUUUGGAUGCCAUUGUGGAAAGUUUUUUCGGUGUGGGAUGAGCUCGCGGCCUAUCAGCUUGUUGGUGGGGUAAUGGCAUACCAAGGCGUCGACGGGUAGCCGGCCUGAGAGGGUGUACGGCCACAUUGGGACUGAGAUACGGCCCAGACUCCUACGGUAGGCAGCAGUGGGGAAUAUUGCACAAUGGGCGCAAGCCUGAUGCAGCGACGCCGCGUGGGGGAUGACGGCCUUCGGGUUGUAAACUCCUUUCGCUAGGGACGAAGCGCAAGUGACGGUACCUGGAGAAGAAGCACCGGCUAACUACGUG
Molecule: ribosomal RNA, 466 nt
Filed under: uncultured bacterium
Lineage: Bacteria
Description: partial 16S ribosomal RNA
Rfam family: Bacterial small subunit ribosomal RNA
Source: RNAcentral